Long non-coding RNA from Sardina pilchardus (European sardine), 439 nucleotides. RefSeq lists it as uncharacterized. The transcript is spliced from 5 exons. The record is from RefSeq and is a predicted model, not a curated record. NCBI's taxonomy places the organism in Eukaryota, Metazoa, Chordata, Actinopteri, Clupeiformes, Clupeidae.
CAUGUGGACAUGAAGGCGUUGCUGGAGGAAGCAAGCUGCAUAUAAAUGAACGCCAGUCGACAUGCAAGGCUACAGCAAAACCAGGAGCACGAUGAGAGGAGGAUUUCAGUUUCUCAUUUUGGUGGUUACCACCACAGUUUUCAGUGUUGCAGAAGAUGCGGUGUAUCAUUGUCCAAAUGGCCAAGAAACAAUUCAAUCCAGGGAUGGCACUGCAAAAUCCUCAGGGUGCAGCCUAAAGAAUGAUCCUUUCGUCUUUGCAGAAAAAAACAUAAAUUUAAACAUCAGAAGCUCCAACAACUACAACAACAACAACAACAACAACAACAACAACGAUCCAGAGAGAGAGAUUGCUUUUGUGCUGGAUGGCUCUGGCAGUAUUGAUCCUCCUGACUUUGAACUGGCUAAAGGAUUUAUUGCUGAAGUAAUGACAACAGUUCAG